AGCGAACGCUGGCGGCAGGCCUAACACAUGCAAGUCGAACGAACUCUUCGGAGUUAGUGGCGGACGGGUGAGUAACACGUGGGAACGUGCCCUUUGGUACGGAAUAACUCAGGGAAACUUGAGCUAAUACCGUAUGUGCCCUUCAGGGGAAAGAUUUAUCGCCAUUGGAGCGGCCCGCGUCUGAUUAGCUAGUUGGUGAGGUAAAGGCUCACCAAGGCUACGAUCAGUAGCUGGUCUGAGAGGAUGAUCAGCCACAUUGGGACUGAGACACGGCCCAAACUCCUCCGGAGGCCGGCGGUGGGAAUUCUUCCGCAUUGGGCGAAGGCCUGACCCAGCCUGGCGCCGUGAAUGAUGAAGGCCUUAGGUUUGUAAAAUUUUUUCCCCGGGAACGUUAUGACGGUACCCGGAGAAGAAGCCCCGGCUAACUUCGUG
This 432-nucleotide ribosomal RNA is filed under the name uncultured bacterium. RNAcentral's name for it is "partial 16S ribosomal RNA". It matches the Rfam family "Bacterial small subunit ribosomal RNA", at positions 29 to 507 of the family's 1533-position model. The record is from RNAcentral.